This 73-nucleotide transfer RNA is filed under the name Opitutaceae bacterium BACL24 MAG-120322-bin51. RNAcentral's name for it is "tRNA-Lys". It matches the Rfam family "tRNA". Rfam says of the family: Transfer RNA (tRNA) molecules are approximately 80 nucleotides in length. Lineage: Bacteria; Pseudomonadati; Verrucomicrobiota; Opitutia; Opitutales; Opitutaceae. RNAcentral also lists the same sequence under 2 other names. The record is from RNAcentral.
GCUGAAUUAGCUCAAUUGGUAGAGCAGUUGACUCUUAAUCAAUUGGUUCGGGGUUCAAGUCCCCGAUUCAGUA